CGGCGAGUGAAGCGGCAAAAGCUCAAAUUUGAAAUCUGGCUCUUUCAGGGUCCGAGUUGUAAUUUGUAGAAGAUGCUUCGAGUGUGGUUCCGGUCUAAGUUCCUUGGAACAGGACGUCAUAGAGGGUGAGAAUCCCGUAUGUGACUGGAUGCCUAUGCUCAUGUGAAGCUCUUUCGACGAGUCGAGUUGUUUGGGAAUGCAGCUCAAAAUGGGUGGUAUAUUUCAUCUAAAGCUAAAUAUUGGCCAGAGACCGAUAGCGCACAAGUAGAGUGAUCGAAAGAUGAAAAGCACUUUGGAAAGAGAGUUAAACAGUACGUGAAAUUGUUGAAAGGGAAGCGCUUGCAAUCAGACUUGCACCUGGUGUUCAGCGGGGAUUCUUUCCCCGUGUACUUCAUCAGGUUCAGGCCAGCAUCGGUUUGAGUGGUUGGAUAAAGGCCUUGAGAAUGUGGCCCUCUUCGGGGGGUGUUAUAGCUCUCGGUGCAAUGCAGCCUACUUGGACCGAGGACCGCGCUUCGGCUAGGAUGCUGGCGUAAUGGUUGUAAGCGACCCGUCUUGAAACACGGACCAAGGAGUGUAACAUUUAUGCGAGUGUUUGGGUGUUAAACCCAUACGCGUAAUGAAAGUGAACGGAGGUGAGAACCCUUUAGGGUGCAUCAUCGACCGAUCCUGAUGUCUUCGGAUGGAUUUGAGUAAGAGCAUAACUGUUGUGACCCGAAAGAUGGUGAUCUAUACGUGAAUAGGGUGAAGCCAGAGGAAACUCUGGUGGAGGCUCGCAGCGGUUCUGACGUGCAAAUCGAUCGUCAAAUUUGCGUAUAGGGGCGAAAGACUAAUCGAACCAU
RNAcentral lists this ribosomal RNA (839 nucleotides) under Ciboria viridifusca. Its description in RNAcentral is "eukaryotic LSU rRNA". It matches the Rfam family "Eukaryotic large subunit ribosomal RNA", at positions 87 to 943 of the family's 3401-position model. The record is from RNAcentral. Lineage: Eukaryota; Fungi; Ascomycota; Leotiomycetes; Helotiales; Sclerotiniaceae.